GGUUAAGUUAGAAAGGGCGCACGGUGGAUGCCUUGGCACUAGGAGCCGAUGAAGGACGGGACGAACACCGAUAUGCUUCGGGGAGCUGUAAGCAAGCUUUGAUCCGGAGAUUUCCGAAUGGGGAAACCCACCACUCGUAAUGGAGUGGUAUCCAUAUCUGAAUACAUAGGAUAUGAGAAGGCAGACCCGGGGAACUGAAACAUCUAAGUACCCGGAGGAAGAGAAAGCAAAUGCGAUUCCCUGAGUAGCGGCGAGCGAAACGGGACCAGCCCAAACCAAGAGGCUUGCCUCUUGGGGUUGUAGGACACUCUGUACGGAGUUACAAAGGAACGAGGUAGAUGAAGAGGUCUGGAAAGGCCCGCCAUAGGAGGUAACAGCCCUGUAGUCAAAACUUCGUUCUCUCCUGAGUGGAUCCUGAGUACGGCGGAACACGUGAAAUUCCGUCGGAAUCCGGGAGGACCAUCUCCCAAGGCUAAAUACUCCCUAGUGACCGAUAGUGAACCAGUACCGUGAGGGAAAGGUGAAAAGCCCGGAAGGGGAGUGAAAGAGAUCCUGAAACCGUGUGCCUACAAGUAGUCAGAGCCCGUUAACGGGUGAUGGCGUGCCUUUUGUAGAAUGAACCGGCGAGUUACGAUCCCGUGCAAGGUUAAGCAGAAGAUGCGGAGCCGCAGCGAAAGCGAGUCUGAAUAGGGCGAAUUGAGUACGUGGUCGUAGACCCGAAACCAGGUGAUCUACCCAUGUCCAGGGUGAAGUUCAGGUAACACUGAAUGGAGGCCCGAACCCACGCACGUUGAAAAGUGCGGGGAUGAGGUGUGGGUAGGGGUGAAAUGCCAAUCGAACCUGGAGAUAGCUGGUUCUCUCCGAAAUAGCUUUAGGGCUAGCCUCAAGGUAAGAGUCUCGGAGGUAGAGCACUGAUUGGACUAGGGGCCCCUACCGGGUUACCGAAUUCAGUCAAACUCCGAAUGCCGAUGACUUAUCCUUGGGAGUCAGACUGCGAGUGAUAAGAUCCGUAGUCGAAAGGGAAACAGCCCAGACCGCCAGCUAAGGUCCCAAAGUAUACGUUAAGUGGAAAAGGAUGUGGAGUUGCUUAGACAACCAGGAUGUUGGCUUAGAAGCAGCCACCAUUUAAAGAGUGCGUAAUAGCUCACUGGUCGAGUGACUCUGCGCCGAAAAUGUACCGGGGCUAAACGUAUCACCGAAGCUGCGGACUGUUCUUCGAACAGUGGUAGGAGAGCGUUCUAAGGGCUGUGAAGCAAGACCGGAAGGACUUGUGGAGCGCUUAGAAGUGAGAAUGCCGGUAUGAGUAGCGAAAGAGGGGUGAGAAUCCCCUCCACCGAAUGCCUAAGGUUUCCUGAGGAAGGCUCGUCCGCUCAGGGUUAGUCGGGACCUAAGCCGAGGCCGAAAGGCGUAGGCGAUGGAUAACAGGUUGAUAUUCCUGUACCACCUCCUCACCAUUUGAGCAAUGGGGGGACGCAGGAGGAUAGGGUAAGCGCGGUAUUGGAUAUCCGCGUCCAAGCAGUUAGGCUGGGAAAUAGGCAAAUCCGUUUCCCGUGAAGGCUGAGCUGUGAUGGCGAGCGAAUUAUAGUAGCGAAGUUCCUGAUUCCACACUGCCAAGAAAAGCCUCUAGCGAGGUGAGAGGUGCCCGUACCGCAAACCGACACAGGUAGGCGAGGAGAGAAUCCUAAGGUGAUCGAGAGAACUCUCGUUAAGGAACUCGGCAAAAUGACCCCGUAACUUCGGGAGAAGGGGUGCUCUGUUAGGGUGCAAGCCCGAGAGAGCCGCAGUGAAUAGGCCCAGGCGACUGUUUAGCAAAAACACAGGUCUCUGCGAAGCCGUAAGGCGAAGUAUAGGGGCUGACGCCUGCCCGGUGCUGGAAGGUUAAGAGGAGCGCUUAGCGUAAGCGAAGGUGCGAAUUGAAGCCCCAGUAAACGGCGGCCGUAACUAUAACGGUCCUAAGGUAGCGAAAUUCCUUGUCGGGUAAGUUCCGACCCGCACGAAAGGCGCAACGAUCUGGGCACUGUCUCAACGAGAGACUCGGUGAAAUUAUAGUACCUGUGAAGAUGCAGGUUACCCGCGACAGGACGGAAAGACCCCGUGGAGCUUUACUGCAGCCUGAUAUUGAAUGUUGGUACAGCUUGUACAGGAUAGGUAGGAGCCUUGGAAACCGGAGCGCCAGCUUCGGUGGAGGCAUCGGUGGGAUACUACCCUGGCUGUAUUGACCUUCUAACCCGCCGCCCUUAUCGGGCGGGGAGACAGUGUCAGGUGGGCAGUUUGACUGGGGUCGCCUCCUAAAAGGUAACGGAGGCGCCCAAAGGUUCCCUCAGAAUGGUUGGAAAUCAUUCGCAGAGUGUAAAGGCACAAGGGAGCUUGACUGCGAGACCUACAAGUCGAGCAGGGACGAAAGUCGGGCUUAGUGAUCCGGUGGUUCCGCAUGGAAGGGCCAUCGCUCAACGGAUAAAAGCUACCCCGGGGAUAACAGGCUUAUCUCCCCAAGAGUCCACAUCGACGGGGAGGUUUGGCACCUCGAUGUCGGCUCAUCGCAUCCUGGGGCUGUAGUCGGUCCCAAGGGUUGGGCUGUUCGCCCAUUAAAGCGGUACGCGAGCUGGGUUCAGAACGUCGUGAGACAGUUCGGUCCCUAUCCGUCGCGGGCGCAGGAAAUUUGAGAGGAGCUGUCCUUAGUACGAGAGGACCGGGAUGGACGCACCGCUGGUGUACCAGUUGUUCUGCCAAGGGCAUCGCUGGGUAGCUAUGUGCGGACGGGAUAAGUGCUGAAAGCAUCUAAGCAUGAAGCCCCCCUCAAGAUGAGAUUUCCCAUUCCGCAAGGAAGUAAGAUCCCUGAAAGAUGAUCAGGUUGAUAGGUCUGAGGUGGAAGUGUGGCGACACAUGGAGCUGACAGAUACUAAUCGAUCGAGGACUUAACCAA
Molecule: ribosomal RNA, 2923 nt
Filed under: Bacillus velezensis
Lineage: Bacteria; Bacillati; Bacillota; Bacilli; Caryophanales; Bacillaceae
Description: 23S ribosomal RNA
Rfam family: Bacterial large subunit ribosomal RNA
Source: RNAcentral